Molecule: long non-coding RNA, 704 nt
Filed under: Setaria viridis
Lineage: Eukaryota; Viridiplantae; Streptophyta; Magnoliopsida; Poales; Poaceae
Description: long non-coding RNA (SVIR_LNC001715)
Source: RNAcentral
GAGGGUGUUGCUACUUUGUGAUUGGUUCAAGGAGUGAACCACCAUUGUAAGCUUGGUGCACCAGCACCUUUGGGUCUUUAGUAGCUCGUCAGCAAGUCUUUGACCCCCUAGGUUGGUGUCGAGUGGGGACAAUGUCCGUGUGGGGGAUGCGAAGACUCCCUCCUUCGCGGAGAAGCUUUACAGUGGAGACGGCAUCAAGUGGACCGGAAUAGAAGGAGUGGUGAGCCUUGCCUUUGUAGCAGGCUUCUCAUCCGGCUUAGCGAGAGCCUUUGUGGCGAGCUUAAGAUCUUUACUGGAAGAGACUUGGUGACUGGAAGUAUAUCGAUGGAGCUUCAACAUGGACUAGGGGCAUUUGCCUGCCAAUACCAUAUGAUAAAUUAUUGUACAAGUUUGCAUCCUUUCUAACCCACUCCUUUUACAUUUCCGCAUUUCAUAGUUGCAACUUGAGUGCCUUUACAUUCUUAAAGUAGUUCUUGGUAGGAUUAGCUAUACGUCGCAAAACUCUUUGUGGGAGGGAUGUUUACAACCAUAGAUGCAUAUCUAGAUACAAUAAUCUAGUCUAUAUUUUGAUGCAAAUAGUGAAAGUCGUCAUAGGCUAAGAUUUUUAUAUUUGUCUAAUUCACCCUCUCCCCAUUUUAGGCUAAGAGCAUCUCUUCCUUUCACCUGGCUAGAUUAAUAUUAUCUCUCCUCCCUUUUCCCUCCCA